Molecule: ribosomal RNA, 773 nt
Filed under: uncultured Neocallimastigales
Lineage: Eukaryota; Fungi; Neocallimastigomycota; Neocallimastigomycetes; Neocallimastigales
Description: partial large subunit ribosomal RNA
Rfam family: Eukaryotic large subunit ribosomal RNA
Source: RNAcentral
CAGACGAUGCGUCAUGCAUAUCAAUAAGCGGAGGAAAAGAAACUAACAAGGAUUCCCCUAGUAACGGCGAGUGAAGCGGGAAGAGCUCAAAUUUGAAAUCUUAAAGGGUUUCCCUUUACGAAUUGUAGUUUAAAGAAGUGUUUUCUGUUGAGGUUUUGGUAAAAGUUCUUUGGAAUAGGACAUCAUAGAGGGUGAGAAUCCCGUAUUUGACCUUUACUUUCAACUUUGUGAUACACUUUCAAAGAGUCGGAUUGUUUGGGAAUGCAGUCCAAAAUGGGUGGUAAAUUUCAUCUAAAGCUAAAUAUUGGCGAGAGACCGAUAGCGAACAAGUACCGUGAGGGAAAGAUGAAAAGAACUUUGAAAAGAGAGUUAAACAGUACGUGAAAUUGUCAAAAGGGAAGCGUUUGACACCAGUGUUGUUUUUCUGAAAAUCAAUUAAAGAACUGUUUAUGCUAAGCUGUUUAGACUUUAUCAGCUAUCUGCUUAGUUUCGAGCUUUUCUUUAAUGCACUUUUCAGUUAACAAGUCAACAUCAAUUUCUUUUGCUGUAAAAAAGCUUGAGGAAGGUGGCUUGAGAUUCGUCUUAAGUGUUUAUAGCCUCUUGCCUAUGCAGUCGGAGAGAUUGAGGUCUGCAGCGUAGAUCCUUCGGGGCUAAAUGCAUUUGUGCUAAGUUAUAGCAUUUUAUAGACAACUUGUUGACUAUGAUUUGUCUUGUAGCUUACUCGCUUAUGUUAUUUUACCUACGCUUAGGAUGUUGACACACGCGCGUGCUCG